CGCUGGCGGCAUGCCUAACACAUGCAAGUCGAACGGGGGUAGCAAUACCCUAGUGGCGAACGGGUGAGUAACACAUAAGCAAUCUGCCCUUCACAGGGGGAUAACAGCGGGAAACUGCUGCUAAUACCGUAUAAGACCACGGUACCGCAUGGUACAGGGGUAAAAACGGAUCAGUGGUGAAGGAUGAGCUUAUGUCCCAUUAGCUAGUUGGUGAGAUAACAGCCCACCAAGGCGACGAUGGGUAGCCGACCUGAGAGGGUGAUCGGCCACACUGGAACUGAGACACGGUCCAGACUCCUACGGGAGGCAGCAGUGGGGAAUAUUGGGCAAUGGAGGAAAAACCUCUUACCCAGCAAUGCCGCGUGAGUGAAGAAGGUCUUCGGAUUGUAAAGCUCUUUGAUUGGGGACGAAGAAAGUGACGGUACCCAAAGAACAAGCCCCGGCUAACUACGUGCCAGCCGCUGC
RNAcentral lists this ribosomal RNA (465 nucleotides) under uncultured bacterium. Its description in RNAcentral is "bacterial SSU rRNA". It matches the Rfam family "Bacterial small subunit ribosomal RNA", at positions 34 to 518 of the family's 1533-position model. The record is from RNAcentral.